CAGCCGCCGCGGUAAUACAGAGGGUGCAAGCGUUAAUCGGAAUUACUGGGCGUAAAGCGCGCGUAGGUGGUUUGUUAAGUUGGAUGUGAAAUCCCCGGGCUCAACCUGGGAACUGCAUCCAAAACUGGCAAGCUAGAGUAGGGCAGAGGGUGGUGGAAUUUCCUGUGUAGCGGUGAAAUGCGUAGAUAUAGGAAGGAACACCAGUGGCGAAGGCGACCACCUGGGCUCAUACUGACACUGAGGUGCGAAAGCGUGGGGAGCAAACAGGAUUAGAUACCCCAGUAGUCCCUGUCUCUUAUAC
RNAcentral lists this ribosomal RNA (301 nucleotides) under uncultured bacterium. RNAcentral's name for it is "partial 16S ribosomal RNA". It matches the Rfam family "Bacterial small subunit ribosomal RNA", at positions 509 to 807 of the family's 1533-position model. The record is from RNAcentral.